Tripterygium wilfordii is the source of this 1980-nucleotide long non-coding RNA. RefSeq lists it as uncharacterized. The record is from RefSeq and is a predicted model, not a curated record. Lineage: Eukaryota; Viridiplantae; Streptophyta; Magnoliopsida; Celastrales; Celastraceae. The transcript has 4 exons.
AUUCAUCAAGCUCCUCUAGGAUUUCUAUUUUUUUUCUAUCCUCCACAAACUCCGCCUUCUCUCUGAUUCACGUUCACGCUAAGCAAACCCUAGUCUCUUGUUUAAACAAUGAAGUUGAACUCCGUUACUGCGCUUAUGGACAUGGACACACACUCUGUUUAUGCCGUCUCUUGCUCGCGCUCUUCCCUUUCGAUUCUCUCAUCACUCCAUCUCCCUCCUCGAAGAACACAAUGCGGUUUAAUCUCUCCGCGCCGGCAAGGAGAAUCGAUGCGCGAGAGACGGAGAGAAUGAUUUCGUAAUUAUCUGGUUCAAGCAGGGUAUCAGAGUCGAUAAUCAUCGUGGAUUUGUAACCUAUCACGCCGUGCUUCCUCUUUGCGUCUUCGAUCUCGGUCGAGUAUCUUCUUUCUUAUAUUCCUCUUUUUUUGCCUGGUUAUUUUUAGGUUUUUCAUUGUUGUUCAAUUGUCAGGGUAUCUGAGUCGAUAAUCAUCGUGUACUUGUAACCUAUCACGCCGUGCGUCGUCUUUGCGUCUUCGAUCGCUGUCGAGUAUCUUCUUUCUUAUAUUCCUUUUUGUUUCUUGCCCAGUUAUUUUUAGGUUUUUCAUUGUUGUUCAAUUGUUUUAAGGUUUUUCUUCGUAGCCAACCCUAUGCCUCAAAUUUGAAAAUCAUACUCAUGUACACACUAUUGUGUCUCUCUUGCACGCCUUCUCUCUCCUUUCGUUUAGCUCAUCUCUCUAUGAUACGAUUCGGAGAACACGAUGAGGUUGAUCUCUCUUCGCGCAGUCGACCAGAGGCGAUGUGCUAAAGAAUCACUCCUGAAAUCUCUCGUUCAAGCAGGAUCUCCGAGUCCAGGUCUUGUAGCCGCCACCGCCUCCGAGUAUCAGGCCCUGGUUACUCCUUACGUCUUUGAUCGCCGGAUUCUUUCUAGUGUUUGUUUACUAUCCGCACCUCGGCAAGAAGAGGCUAUGCACGCUCUAUAAUUCUUAGUCCACAAUCAGUCCUUGUAGCUGCCCCCGAGUUUCAGGCGAUGGUUCCUCUUUACUUGCAGGACCCUAGCAGAUGAUGUUGAAGCAGAAAUCAGCCUAUGUACCUUGAAAUGCUGUGCCACAAUCAAUUGUAGAGACAAAAGUCCUCUUUCCUCUGCUGGAAUGACUGACAUCCAUAGCUAAGGUGAGCAUCCUCGUUUCCACUUGAUGAUGACAGCUUUUAUUCUCUUCAAAAUGGUAUUAUCUCAAUCUGCUGUUAAGAAAGGGCGUAGUCUCUGUGGGAUUACUGGAGUCUGUAGCUCUUCAUAAUAAGUUAGGACUCAUGGCAAAGGAGAACUGUGGAAUGAAUACUCAUAAAUCAUAAUAUUUCGUAUGUAUUUGUGUAGCCGACCUAACAUAUUGUUUGCGACAAGGCUUUGAUGAUGAUUGUGGUUGGUAUUUGUUACAGAAUGACACUUGCAUGAUCAUUCAUUUCUUAUGCCUCAUUUAUGUUUCAAAAUUGUAGUCUGUGUUAUAUUCCUUUGGAACAAUCUGGUGGUAACAGAAGGGUUACUGUAGAAUAGUUUUGCAUUCUUUGGUGGAUAUGGGCAUUGCCACAUGGAAUUCUAUAAAAGAGAAUAUUGAUAUUUUUAAGUGUCUUGGAGUGUAGAAGAAAAAGUAUGGAUAUCUCACUUCUCUCAUUGUUGCAUAAUUAAGAUUUGUAUCUAAAGCUCAUACCCAUUUGGCUCUGAUUUCGAUUCCGUGGAUGCUAGAUUUUUACCUUCAGAAAAUCACCUUCAAAUAAGAUGCCGUUCGUCUUCUUUCAAUCUUUCCUGCUUUUAAGUUUUGAUAGCAGCAGAUGAUUAAAUGGCAAGUUAGCAACAUCUUAUGUAGAUCUAUGUUGACUUCCAGCAGUCUUUGACAUUGGCGGUCUGGUUUAUGGUAUUUGUUCUGGAUUAACUUCUGUACAAAUUCUUAUAAUGUUUGAAGCUUCUUUAAUCUAUCCUAGUUGUUCAAA